GAUGAAUUUUUCGAAUUAUUUUAUAAUUAAAGGCGUUAAGAAACCUUUGGUGACCCCACAGUUCAAAUGUCUAUCGUAGGUACGUCGUGAACAGUGGUCGUUACAGACAAACGUUCACGUAAAUUGUCCCAGUCAAUGGAUGAAUUUAAUGUGUCAAUCAAUGGCCACAGCCACACUGUUUUGAAUUUCAUUCUACUUCCAUUUAAACUCCAAAUUACCUUUCCAUUAUAUGAACUGCAUUUUCAAAAAUAUGUUUUGUCACCAAAAUCCUAAUAGAGCACGUAUCAUCAUAUAGUUACACCCAUGUCCGUUCGAUCGCCAAUCCCGCACUUCGUAGUCUUUUUGCUUUAGGUUUAAAUUAUGUACCUGGUGUACUCAAAUUUAAGGUGCGCAUAUCGUCUGGAUUUUCUUUAUUUUUUGUUCAUUACGGGUUUCUGUAUUAGGCAUUUUGAUAAAAUAUAAAAGUCACGC
RNAcentral lists this long non-coding RNA (471 nucleotides) under Mytilus galloprovincialis (Mediterranean mussel). The record is from RNAcentral. Lineage: Eukaryota; Metazoa; Mollusca; Bivalvia; Mytilida; Mytilidae.